This 425-nucleotide ribosomal RNA is filed under the name marine bacterium A16. RNAcentral's name for it is "bacterial SSU rRNA". It matches the Rfam family "Bacterial small subunit ribosomal RNA", at positions 1013 to 1456 of the family's 1533-position model. The record is from RNAcentral.
GUGAACUCCCUUUCCGCCUGCAAGGUGCUGCAUGGUUGUCGUCAGCUCGAGCCGUGAGGUGUCAGGUUAAGUCAUAUAACGAGCGCAACCCCUACCGUUAGUUGCCAGCGAGUCAAGUCGCUCUAACGGGACUGCCGGUGCAAACCGUGAGGAAGGUGGGGANGACGUCAAAUCAUCACGGCCCUUACGUCCUGGGCCACACACGUGCUACAAUGGCCGGUACAGAGGGAAGCCACCCCGCAAGGGGGCGCGGAUCUACAAAUCACAGUUCGGAUCGGGGUCUGCAACUCGACCCCGUGAAGCUGGAAUCGCUAGUAAUCGGAUAUCAGCCAUGAUCCGGUGAAUACGUUCCCGGGCCUUGUACACACCGCCCGUCAAGCCAUGGAAGCCGGGAGUGCCUGAAGUCCGUCACCGCAAGGAGCGGC